Molecule: long non-coding RNA, 2855 nt
Filed under: Homo sapiens (human)
Lineage: Eukaryota; Metazoa; Chordata; Mammalia; Primates; Hominidae
Description: non-protein coding lnc-SELENOF-2:1
Source: RNAcentral
AGUGCAAGAAUGGCCUGUGUCUCGGUUACCGCAAAGGACUCGCAAGCCUCCGCCAGCCCCGGGGUGGAGGCCACAGGAGCACUGACGUCGUGGUAUCAGAAAGGCGGACAGUGCAGCCUUAGUGUUCCCCAGGGGUGGGAGGAAGCUCCCGGCCCCGUCCCCACCCCGCCUCGCUUCCCAGGGAGCGGCGGUUGGGCAGGAGCGGGGCAGAAAUCCGCCGCCGGGCCCGGGGAGGGGACCAGGCCGCGCCCAUCUCCCAGGCCUCUGGCUGCAGCAGGCCCGCUGGGUGGUCGGCGAGGCCCGGGGGCGCCGCGUCGAGCUGCGGUCCCCUCCCUCAACCUUCCCGGGCGCCGCCACCCCUUUUCCCCCCAGCACCAGGGUACCUGCACGGCGCGACUGAGGAAGGUGCCUGCGUCGGCCGCCAGCUUCUUCACGUUGAAGUCCAUGAUAUUCAUCCUAGGCGGCAGCCGGGCGGAGCCGGCCGACCUAGCGGCGGCGAGGCGGAGGUGCCGCGGCCGGGCUGGGGCGCAGGGCUAGAGCGGCGAGGGCAGACGUGGUAGGUGGAGGGAGGCGGCGCCAGCCCCGCAGCCGCAGCUGUCGUUUCCGUGAACGGGGAGGAUGAAGGCGGGGCGAGGGAGGAGAACAAGCGCGCGGCGGCAGCGCCAAGGAUGGGUCAGUCGGCUCGGAGAACGGCCGCUAACGUCGACGAUGGGCCCCGCGGGCGAGCCGGAGAUGGACGGGCGACCCCGCCGUGUGGACCCGGGUCCCAAGGGAAAAACAAGCGCGGGCCGCGGGGCGGAGCCUUUCUCGAGGUUAUCGCGGGAACAGCGACCCCUUGAGGAUUGCGGCGGCGCAGCCCCGGGGCGCGCCGGGAGCUCCGCCCGGCUCCUGUGGAGGAAGCGGCGAGGGCGAGCCGCGGGGUCUCGGCGCCUCUGUAUGCUUGCACUUAACGAGAACCCAGAGCGAACACGACCCACAUUUCUCUUUUUGUUUUAAGAGGAAAUAUAGGAGUUACAGCAUAGAAUUACAAUAUCUGGACAUUAGAAAUAACAGGUCCCGGUCACGGUAUGGCACCGCGCGACACACUUGGUCCCUGAGGCCUGGAUGCCGCUCAGCAAACGUUCGCGGAAUAGGGUUGGGUUUACUGUCCCCCACCGAGCCGGUUGCUCAUUCAUUCAGCAUAAUUGAAUACCUCCUGUGUGCCAGGCACUGAAUCAAGUGUCGGAGACAAUGUCCUGCCCUCAAGCUCCUGGCCGGUUACUUGACAACCUUCCGGGACCUCAACGCUAUGUGCCUACUGUGUGAAAGCAAAGUGCCAGGUGGAGGACACAAAGAUGGCGAGCGACACAGGAUAGUCCUUAACAAUUAAGCGUGACUAAUUUUAAUAACAAAUGAGAAUAUGAUGUGACAUCCGUUCCAAAUCCUGUCGUUCCAAGUAACUUCUUAAGCAUCUUUCACGAUACAGCCUCUGCUUGAAAGGAAUUAAAACAGGUACAAGCAUGGAAGGAGACGUUGCUAUCAUAUUUCAAGAAUAAGAAAAUGCUGUUUUGUGUGGUUGUGCAGCAGGCAAUGAAAUGAGCUUACAUUCAAGCUUCCGUGUUUUACUGAAACAACAGUCACAGAUGCAGUAGAUGUUAAAGGUUGAAAGACGAGUGCAGUAAAAGCAUUAUGAGGACAAGAAGAAAACGUAAAUAUUUGUGUUGUUUCAUUCUUUGUUGUGGUGGCAGAAACAGCCCCCUCUUUCUAAGAGUAAGGAAGGACUGAAAGGAGGAGAAACUAUGGGUUGCCUUUUCCUUCUGUCAUCUGUUCAGCAUUUCAUAGUAAAACCUUUGUUGAUUUAAUAAACAUAAUGGAUACUCAUUAAAAUAUUCAAACAGCAUAGAAAGGGACAAAGAAGAAAGCAGCCAGCAAUCCAAGUACCACUAUCCAGAAAUAGCCAGUGAUAUCUCUUUAUGUGUGGAAAUACAAUGAAAAUUGAGUGAGAGACAUACACAGAGGAAGAAGAAAAAGAAAGCAAUCAAACUCCAAAUGGUGCUGCAAACUGAACCCCACAUGGACACGCCAUUCUUCUGAGGACCCUUAGAUCCACCCCAGGAGGAGCCCUAGCUGCUGUUCCCCAUUCGAUGCCCCUUUUCAGCCGUAAGUAGCCAGAAGAAGUCAUCGCUCCAAACCCUCUAACAGCAGUUAGUGUGGCCUCUCCCCGGUGGGGGGGAAUGUUGUAGGAGUUAUUAAGAAAUUAUUUUAGGCAGAUAGAGAGGAAAAGGGGUCCUUGGGAAGUUUUCAUUUUUAAAAGCAUCUCUGGAAAUAUUUCUUGUAAAGCCCCCGCUCUUAGAGCCAGGCCGGCAACCUUUGAUAUGCAAAUACAGGCUAUUAGAAACUGCGUCCACCCAAACAUGGUAAUUCCUGCAGCCUUCUUGCCCUUGCCCCACAUGUUCCUGGCAACAUGCCUACCCCCACAUAUCCCCACGUGUGUAGAACAUCAUGAUGCCUUACAUUUGCAUAUUAAAAGGCUAGGAUGGGAGCGCCAGCUUUUUCAUGGGCUAUGUGAAUGACAUGCCUAGUCAAAUCAAUCUCCUGAGCCCUGUGCAAAUCGGACACCAGCUCCUCCAGCCUCUGCAUAUAUACCUGGCUGGUGUCUAUUGCAUUUGGGGUUUCCUCUCUUGGCUUUGGAGCCCCCCCACCCUCUGUCUCUGUACAGGGGAGCUUCUUCCUUCUGCCUUCUUCCUUCUUCCUGGCCUAUUAAACUCUCCACUCAUUCAAACAAACAAAAAAAGUUCAAUUUAAAGAAAAAAUUGAACAUCUAUACAUUUAAAAUAAAGUCAUUAAACUGAAAACUUAAUGGACUAACUAACGGC